This is a long non-coding RNA of Manis javanica (Malayan pangolin), 359 nucleotides long. RefSeq lists it as uncharacterized. The record is from RefSeq and is a predicted model, not a curated record. NCBI's taxonomy places the organism in Eukaryota, Metazoa, Chordata, Mammalia, Pholidota, Manidae.
AGAAACCAAAGAACAGAGUGAGGGGGAGGCCGAAGCCCACCCCCAUCCCGCUCACUGAAGACAUCUCCAGGGUUACAGGCGUAAAGAUCCUAGGAGGCUUCCAGAUGCAGGGAGAGAGGGUAUACAGGAAGCUGAGGAGCUGCCUACCUGGAGAUGGACUCCAUGUCUAAAGGAGAAACUGGGACAAGAAACUCCCUCCCUCCCACUCCUGCAGGACCCAAAGCAGACUGGAGCUCUGUAUACAGUGGGUGCUCAUUGCUGCUGACUGAAAGAGCUUCCCGCCAAUGCCGUCUUGGAUGGCAAGCCUACCUCAGGCAUCUCCUCAUCUUCGUCUUCUGAAGACACGUCUUCCUGUGUGC